GCAGCACAAGAACUGGGACAGAUGGAGCUCUUUCAGGGUCUAUGCCUUUCUCUCCUCAUCCUCUCAGCUUUAGGAGCUGUGGUUUCUAAAAAGGAAGUGCAUGGAAUUAAAGCUCCAGCUGCAGAACCUAAGCCAGGUGCAGAAUUCUUUGACCCAGAUUAUCCAGGAUAUGACCAAGUUCCAGAAUAUGUGCCAGACUCGCUAAUCCCAGAUUUGUAUACA
This is a long non-coding RNA of Xenopus tropicalis (tropical clawed frog), 222 nucleotides long. RefSeq lists it as uncharacterized. The transcript is spliced from 8 exons. The record is from RefSeq and is a predicted model, not a curated record. NCBI's taxonomy places the organism in Eukaryota, Metazoa, Chordata, Amphibia, Anura, Pipidae.